RNAcentral lists this ribosomal RNA (732 nucleotides) under Pseudomonas sp. RNAcentral describes it as "bacterial SSU rRNA". It matches the Rfam family "Bacterial small subunit ribosomal RNA", at positions 794 to 1533 of the family's 1533-position model. Lineage: Bacteria; Pseudomonadati; Pseudomonadota; Gammaproteobacteria; Pseudomonadales; Pseudomonadaceae. The record is from RNAcentral.
UCCGCCCCAAAAAGGUCAACUAACCGUUGGGAGCCUUGAGCUCUUAGUGGCGCAGCUAACGCAUUAAGUUGACCGCCUGGGGAGUACGGCCGCAAGGUUAAAACUCAAAUGAAUUGACGGGGGCCCGCACAAGCGGUGGAGCAUGUGGUUUAAUUCGUAGCAACGCGAAGAACCUUACCAGGCCUUGACAUCCAAUGAAUCUGCUAGAGAUAGCGGAGUGCCUUCGGGAGCAUUGAGACAGGUGCUGCAUGGCUGUCCUCAGCUCGUGUCGUGAGAUGUUGGGUUAAGUCCCGUAACGAGCGCAACCCUUGUCCUUAGUUACCAGCACGUUAAGGUGGGCACUCUAAGGAGACUGCCGGUGACAAACCGGAGGAAGGUGGGGAUGACGUCAAGUCAUCAUGGCCCUUACGGCCUGGGCUACACACGUGCUACAAUGGUCGGUACAGAGGGUUGCCAAGCCGCGAGGUGGAGCUAAUCCCAGAAAACCGAUCGUAGUCCGGAUCGCAGUCUGCAACUCGACUGCGUGAAGUCGGAAUCGCUAGUAAUCGCGAAUCACAAUGUCGCGGUGAAUACGUUCCCGGGCCUUGUACACACCGCCCGUCACACCAUGGGAGUGGGUUGCACCAGAAGUAGCUAGUCUAACCUUCGGGGGGACGGUUACCAGCGGUGUGAUUCAUGACUGGGGUGAAAUCGUAACAAGGUAACCGUAAAGGGGGGUGGGGUGGGCUGCCU